This 492-nucleotide ribosomal RNA is filed under the name uncultured bacterium. RNAcentral's name for it is "partial 16S ribosomal RNA". It matches the Rfam family "Bacterial small subunit ribosomal RNA", at positions 29 to 507 of the family's 1533-position model. The record is from RNAcentral.
AGUGAACGCUGGCGGUAGGCCUAACACAUGCAAGUCGAACGGCAGCACAGUAAGAGCUUGCUCUUACGGGUGGCGAGUGGCGGACGGGUGAGGAAUACAUCGGAAUCUACUUUUUCGUGGGGGAUAACGUAGGGAAACUUACGCUAAUACCGCAUACGACCUACGGGUGAAAGCAGGGGAUCUUCGGACCUUGCGCGAUUGAAUGCGCCGAUGUCGGAUUAGCUAGUUGGCGGGGUAAAGGCCCACCAAGGCGACGAUCCGUAGCUGGUCUGAGAGGAGGAUCAGCCACACUGGAACUGAGACACGGUCCAGACUCCUACGGGAGGCAGCAGUGGGGAAUAUUGGACAAUGGGCGCAAGCCUGAUCCAGCCAUACCGCGUGGGUGAAGAAGGCCUUCGGGUUGUAAAGCCCUUUUGUUGGGAAAGAAAAGCAGCAGGUUAAUACCCCGCUGUUCUGACGGUACCCAAAGAAUAAGCACCGGCUAACUUCGUG